RNAcentral lists this ribosomal RNA (450 nucleotides) under uncultured bacterium. RNAcentral describes it as "partial 16S ribosomal RNA". It matches the Rfam family "Bacterial small subunit ribosomal RNA", at positions 354 to 796 of the family's 1533-position model. The record is from RNAcentral.
GUAGGGAAUCUUCCACAAUGGACGAAAGUCUGAUGGAGCAACGCCGCGUGAACGAUGAAGGCUUUCGGGUCGUAAAGUUCUGUUGUAAGGGAAGAACAAGUGCCGCAGGCAAUGGCGGCACCUUGACGGUACCUUGCGAGAAAGCCACGGCUAACUACGUGCCAGCAGCCGCGGUAAUACGUAGGUGGCAAGCGUUGUCCGGAAUUAUUGGGCGUAAAGCGCGCGCAGGCGGCCUCUUAAGUCUGUUGUGAAAGCCCCCGGCUCAACCGGGGAGGGCCAUUGGAAACUGGGAGGCUUGAGUAUAGGAGAGAAGAGUGGAAUUCCACGUGUAGCGGUGAAAUGCGUAGAGAUGUGGAGGAACACCAGUGGCGAAGGCGACUCUUUGGCCUAUAACUGACGCUGAGGCGCGAAAGCGUGGGGAGCAAACAGGAUUAGAAACCCCUGUAGUCC